This 70-nucleotide transfer RNA is filed under the name Cyphonistes vallatus. Its description in RNAcentral is "tRNA-Lys". Lineage: Eukaryota; Metazoa; Arthropoda; Insecta; Coleoptera; Scarabaeidae. The record is from RNAcentral.
CAUUAGGUGGCUGAAAGUAAGUAAUGGUCUCUUAAACCAUCCCAUGGUAAUUAACACCUACUCCUAGUGG